CAGUCGCCACGGGAAAACGGAGGGUGCAAGCGUUAUCCGGAUUUAUUGGGUUUAAAGGGUCCGUAGGCGGACUUAUAAGUCAGUGGUGAAAGCCUGUCGCUUAACGAUAGAACUGCCAUUGAUACUGUAAGUCUUGAGUAUAUUUGAGGUAGCUGGAAUAAGUAGUGUAGCGGUGAAAUGCAUAGAUAUUACUUAGAACACCAAUUGCGAAGGCAGGUUACCAAGAUAUAACUGACGCUGAGGGACGAAAGCGUGGGUAGCGAACAGGAUUAGAUACCCGAGUAGUCCCUGUCUCUUAUAU
RNAcentral lists this ribosomal RNA (301 nucleotides) under uncultured bacterium. Its description in RNAcentral is "partial 16S ribosomal RNA". It matches the Rfam family "Bacterial small subunit ribosomal RNA", at positions 509 to 809 of the family's 1533-position model. The record is from RNAcentral.